Molecule: ribosomal RNA, 253 nt
Filed under: uncultured bacterium
Lineage: Bacteria
Description: partial 16S ribosomal RNA
Rfam family: Bacterial small subunit ribosomal RNA
Source: RNAcentral
UACGAAGGGGGCUAGCGUUGCUCGGAAUCACUGGGCGUAAAGGGUGCGUAGGCGGGUUCUUAAGUCAGAGGUGAAAUCCUGGAGCUCAACUCCAGAACUGCCUUUGAUACUGAGAGUCUUGAGUUCGGGAGAGGUGAGUGGAACUGCGAGUGUAGAGGUGAAAUUCGUAGAUAUUCGCAAGAACACCAGUGGCGAAGGCGGCUCACUGGCCCGAUACUGACGCUGAAGCACGAAAGCGUGGGGAGCAAACGGG